GACGAACGCUGGCGGCGCGCUUAACACAUGCAAGUCGAACGGAAAGGCCUGCUUUCCCUUGUGGAUUGCGGGUACUCGAGUGGCGAACGGGUGAGUAACACGUGAGUGAUCUGCCCCCAACUUGGGUAUAAGCCUGGGAAACUGGGUCUAAUUCCCGAUAGGACUGCAGGGUGGUGCCUGUGGUGGAAAACGAUUUUCUAGUGGUUGGGGAUGAGCUCGCGGCCUAUCAGCUUGUUGGUGGGGUAAUGGCCUACCAAGGCGGCGACGGGUAGCCGGCCUGGGAGGGUGGACGGCCACAUUGGGACUGAGAUGCGGCCCAGACUCCUACGGGAGGCAGCAGUGGGGAAUAUAGCACAAUGGGCGGAAGCCUGAUGCAGCGACGCCGCGUGGGGGAUGACGGCCUUCGGGUUGUAAACUCCUUUCGACCGCGAGGAAGCCACCUGGUUGGAAGGGUGGUGACGGUAGUGGUAGAAGAAGCACCGGCUAACUACGU
RNAcentral lists this ribosomal RNA (493 nucleotides) under uncultured bacterium. Its description in RNAcentral is "partial 16S ribosomal RNA". It matches the Rfam family "Bacterial small subunit ribosomal RNA", at positions 28 to 506 of the family's 1533-position model. The record is from RNAcentral.